UGGGGAAUUUUGGACAAUGGGCGCAAGCCUGAUCCAGCCAUGCCGCGUGCGGGAAGAAGGCCUUCGGGUUGUAAACCGCUUUUGUCAGGGAAGAAAUCUUCUGAGUUAAUACCUCGGGAGGAUGACGGUACCUGAAGAAUAAGCACCGGCUAACUACGUGCCAGCAGCCGCGGUAAUACGAAGGGUGCAAGCGUUAAUCGGAAUUACUGGGCGUAAAGCGUGCGCAGGCGGUUUUGUAAGACAGAGGUGAAAUCCCCGGGCUCAACCUGGGAACUGCCUUUGUGACUGCAAGGCUUGAGUGCGGCAGAGGGGGAUGGAAUUCCGCGUGUAGCAGUGAAAUGCGUAGAUAUGCGGAGGAACACCGAUGGCGAAGGCAAUCCCCUGGGCCUGCACUGACGCUCAUGCACGAAAGCGUGGGGAGCAAACAGGAUUAGAUACCCUGGUAGUCCACGCCCUAAACGAUGUCAACUGGUUGUUGGGAAGGUUCCUUCUCAGUAACGUAGCUAACGCGUGAAGUUGACCGCCUGGGGAGUACGGCCGCAGGG
This 545-nucleotide ribosomal RNA is filed under the name uncultured bacterium. Its description in RNAcentral is "partial 16S ribosomal RNA". It matches the Rfam family "Bacterial small subunit ribosomal RNA", at positions 355 to 893 of the family's 1533-position model. The record is from RNAcentral.